GAUGAACGCUGGCGGCGUGCCUAAUACAUGCAAGUCGAGCGAACGGACGAGAAGCUUGCUUCUCUGAUGUUAGCGGCGGACGGGUGAGUAACACGUGGAUAACAUACCUAUAAGACUGGGAUAACUUCGGGAAACCGGAGCUAAUACCGGAUAAUAUUUUGAACCGCAUGGUUCAAAAGUGAAAGACGGUCUUGCUGUCACUUAUAGAUGGAUCCGCGCUGCAUUAGCUAGGUGGUAAGGUAACGGCUGACCAAGGCAACGAUGCAUAGCCGACCUGAGAGCGUGAUCGGCCACACUGGAACUGAAACCCGCUCCAGCCUCCUACGGGAGGCAGCAGUAGAGAAUCUUCCGCAACGGGCGAAAGCCUGACGUAGAAACGCCGCGUGAGUGAUGACGGUCUUCGGGUCGUAAAACUCUGUUAUUAGGGAAGAAAAUAUGUGUAAGAAACUGUGCACAUCUUGACGGUACCUAAUCAGAAAGCGACGGCUAACUACGUG
Molecule: ribosomal RNA, 497 nt
Filed under: uncultured bacterium
Lineage: Bacteria
Description: partial 16S ribosomal RNA
Rfam family: Bacterial small subunit ribosomal RNA
Source: RNAcentral